Molecule: long non-coding RNA, 393 nt
Organism: Cervus elaphus (red deer)
Lineage: Eukaryota; Metazoa; Chordata; Mammalia; Artiodactyla; Cervidae
Exons: 2
Source: RefSeq, a predicted model, not a curated record
AAGGAGAUGGCUACCCACUCCAGUAAUCUUGCCUGGAGAAUUCCAUGGACAGAGGAGCCUGUCUCUAGGUUGAGAACUCCAAGCAGUAAGAGACACAGGAUAAGAAUGGGAAAGAUGGAGCCUUUUUGAGAGUCUGCUGCUCUGCUAAAUGCCAUUUUGAAGGGAAAGAAGAAGUCGAAUGGAUAUUUCCAGUCCAUUCUGGGUUGGCCUCUUGGAGGCUCUGGCUUCUGGGUAAUGUCCACAAAGGUCACCACAGUUGUCAAAGGUACUUCUGUUUCGGGAGGGGAAUCCUGCAGGAAGAAUGUCCAUGACAGGUCAGUGCUUGGCACCCAUUCAAAUAGCCCUCCAAUUUGAAUGUUAUUAUUACUUCCCUGAAUAAAGACCCAUAACAAA